This 605-nucleotide ribosomal RNA is filed under the name uncultured bacterium. RNAcentral describes it as "bacterial SSU rRNA". The stretch from base 1 to 520 matches the Rfam family "Bacterial small subunit ribosomal RNA", at positions 338 to 873 of the family's 1533-position model. The record is from RNAcentral.
CCUACGGGAGGCAGCAGUAAGGAAUCUUCCACAAUGGACGAAAGUCUGAUGGGGCAACGCCGCGUGCAGGAUGAAGGCUUUCGGGUCGUAAACUGCUUUUAUAUGGGAAGAUUAUGACGGUACCAUAUGAAUAAGGACCGGCUAACUACGUGCCAGCAGCCGCGGUAAUACGUAGGGUCCAAGCGAUAUCCGGAAUUACUGGGCGUAAAGCGUGUGUAGGUGGAUUAAUAAGUGUGAUGCGAAAUCCGGCGGCUCAACCGUUUGGACUGUGUCGCAUACUGUUAGUCUAGAGGACGGCAGAGGUAAGUGGAAUUACGGGUGUAGCAGUGAAAUGCGUAGAUAUCCGUAGGAACACCAAUGGCGAAGGCAGCUUACUGGGCCACACCUGACACUGAGACACGAAAGCGUGGGGAGCGAACAGGAUUAGAUACCCUGGUAGUCCACGCCGUAAGCGAUGCAUACUAUUAGUAUGGGGUAUCGACCCCCUGUGCUGAGAAGCUAACGCGAUAAGUAUGCCGCCUGGGGGAGGUAGAGCGCGAGAACGUUAAACUACGAAAGAAGUAGUUAGGCGUGAGAGNGCCGACGGACGACGACGAGGGAGGAGG